Podarcis lilfordi (Lilford's wall lizard) is the source of this 71-nucleotide non-coding RNA. The record is from the annotation of a GenBank genome assembly. NCBI's taxonomy places the organism in Eukaryota, Metazoa, Chordata, Lepidosauria, Squamata, Lacertidae.
GGACCAUAGCUCAGUGGCAGAGCAUCUGCUUUGCACGCAGCAGGUCCCAGGUUCAAAUCACGGCAUCUCUA